CCUACGGGUGGCAGCAGUGGGGAAUAUUGCACAAUGGGCGGAACCCUGAUGCAGCGACGCCGCGUGGGUGAGGAAGUACUUCGGUAUGUAAAGCCCUAUCAGCAGGGGAGCAAAUGACGGUACCUGACUAAGAAGCCCCGGCUAACUACGUGCCAGCAGCCGCGGGAAUACGUCGGGGGCCAGCGUUAUCCGGAUUUACUGGGGGUAAAGGGGGCGUAGACGGGGUGCCAAGUCUGGUGUGAAAGGCCGGGGGUCAACCCCGGGACUGCAUUGGAAACUGGCAGGCUGGAGUGCCGGAGGGGCAAGCGGAAUGCGUGGUGUAGCGGUGAAAUGCGUAGAUAUUAGGCGGAACACCGAUGGCGAAGGCAGCAUGCUGG
RNAcentral lists this ribosomal RNA (377 nucleotides) under uncultured bacterium. RNAcentral describes it as "partial 16S ribosomal RNA". It matches the Rfam family "Bacterial small subunit ribosomal RNA", at positions 338 to 732 of the family's 1533-position model. The record is from RNAcentral.